CGGCAAGCACCGACAAGUCAAAUGUCACUUCACAGGGAUGUGGCAGCCACGCUCAGGCACUGUUUGUGGGAGUGUGAAGAAGGCCCCGCCACCUUGAGACUCUGUCUGCGGUGUCUGUUAAAGCUCCGUUCCAGGUGGGCCUCAUCCAAUCCCUCGGAGGCCUUAAAAAAGCACCGACCUCUCCCCAGGAAGAGGGAAUUCUGCCAGGAAACUGCCAUCAGACUCAUCUGCAGCACCAGAUCUUCCCUGGGUCUCCAGCCUGCCAGCCGACCUGCAGAUUUUGGAUUUACCAAGCUUCCAUGAUCGCAUGAGCCGAUUCUUCAUUCAUAAGAGCCCCAAACUGGAAACAACCUAGUUCUUCCACCUGAUCAGUCACUUUCUGUUGAAGAACAUCAGUGACUGACAGCAAAUUCUUUCCAUUCUCCUGAACAGCCCCUCUGCAAUGAGAAUUCACUGCUCCUCCACCAAGGAUUUUUCUACCUGUUGGGUCUGGGCUGGGCCCUGUGGCAUCCCUAACGUCUGUGGGGAUCAGCAAAGUGAAAAGCCCUUGAGCACUGAGGUGUGUCCUGCUUGCUGCUGGGAAACCUUCUGCCGCUAUUCCACCGGGCUUGGUUUGGUCUCCUGGAGAACAAGGGAUCAUGUGGAAGGAGGUCAUUUCAGCUGCAGGAUGUCUGGGAAGGAGGGUGACCUGGGUCAUCAAGCCCCAGCGAGUUGGCCCAGACUGGGAGAGUCACUGGGCCAUGUCCCAGAACUGGGAGAAAUAAGACGUGCGAGUUGUCUUAUUCAUGUUGGGAUGGCUUGUUAGGUAACAAAUAAACAUGGUUACAAUCAUUUUGGGUUUUCUUGGGUCCCAUGACACCAGCAAACAGAGACUAACUCUCCUUUGGGAGGCGGCACUGCAACUGUCCACAUGUGAAAACAUUUGCCGAGCUAUGUGACUGAAGUGCACCUACUGUACAGAAGUUAUAGCUCAGGUAAAAGGUGAGAAGAAGAAAAUAAUAACGUAGUCCCUCUCUGUAAAGGUUUCUCAUCAUAUAAUACGGAAACAGACAUGUAACAGAGCAUGUGAACACAAAACACAAUGUGCUUUCAAACCUAGAGGCCCAGACAGUGGUCUGGAGGCAUAGUGGAGGAGAAACGGGGGCCACCUUGAGAGCCGGUACAAAUUGUUGGGGUGCAAACUGACCCUAUCAGUCAGCACGUCUUGCAUUGGGCCAGAGUGAAUGCUGAGCAGCUGCAUCUCUUACUUCAAAACAGCUCAGGCCAAUUCCAGGCUCCUAGCAUCAGCCCUCCCAGGAAUCAGGGAGAUGUUCUAGAUCCGAGGGCAUCUGCAGUCCUGGGAGAACUUCGCCAUGUGGAAAAAGACAUGAAGCCUCGGGAUGUGCAGCGUGGAGAAGCUGAGCCGUUCCCCACAGCUGGGUGUGACGACCCUAUAGAUCUGAGGGCUCAGAUGCACAACUAAAAAGAGCAGAGAUCGCGUCUUACUUGCAGAAGGGAAAACUACCAAAGCUCUUUGUGGUGGUUUUACCUUUAUGUGCCAAUUUGACUGGGCCAACGGAUGCCCAGGUAACUGGGUAAACAGUAUUUCUGGGUGUUUCUGUGGGGGUAUUUCCAAAAGAGAUUAGCAUUUGCACUGGUAGACGGUAAAACAGGUGGCCCUCCCCACUGUGGGCAGGCGUCACCUGACCUGUUGAGGCCUGACUAGAACAAAAAGGCAGAGGAGGGGUGAACUCACUCUCUGCCUGACUGCUGAGCUGGGACAGCCGUCUCCUGCCUGCAGUGCUCCUGGUUCUCAGGCCUUCCAGCCCGGACUGGACCCUCUGUCAGAUCUCCGGCUCUCAGGCCUUCAGACCACACCACUAGCUCUUCUGCGCCUCCAGCUUGCAGACAGCAGAUGGUGGGAGUUCUCAGCCUCCAUAAUCAUGUGAUCCAAUACCUUGUAAUAAAUCUCUCUCUCUAUAUAAGUAUAUAUAAGUAAAGCUUUAUAAAUUCAUAUGAAUAAAUCUCUUUACAUAUAUGUAUCUGUAGGGAAAAUGGAAGUUUGGAUGGCCAGGAUCCUCACCUGACCCUAAUCUACCUGAUGAUGUAAUUGGCCUACUGCUGGGCUACUGCUUUCACACCCAUUGACAAUGAGCCGUUAUUAUUGGUGUUAUUAUAUAAAGAGCUCUGUCCAGUGCUCUACCUUGGAGGCAGAGACAGAGAUGGAUUGCAAACUUGCCAGAGGCAGAUGUGAUUCUAGCACUUGACCUGCCACCCUGAGAAAAAGGUUGGUAUAAACCCUUUAACCCCCAACUUUCCAACGUUGGUAUUCAGUCUCACUGAAUCCAGAGCAAACUUGCCUGGGGCUGAAACGUUGCAGCAAGAUGGUAUCUUUUUGGUUUUGUUUCUCUGGAGAACCUUGACUAAUUACACCAUUUAAGCAAAUCACAUAUUGAGGGCUGUGUGAGAGAAAAUAGCUUUUCAACCUCCUUAAUGUGAUUAGAAUAAUCAAUUUCAUUUUUAUUCUUAAUAAUGUGUUGAUUUUCAAAAUGCAAUAAUAGAAAACUUGGCUUAAAAAAAUUCACUUGGAAGCCACAGUAAUCAAAACAAUUUGGUACUGGCACAAAAACAGAGCCAUAGACCAAUGGAACAGACUAGAGAGCCCAGAUAUAAACCCAAGCAUAUAUGGUCAAUUAAUAUACGAUAAAGGAGCCAUGGACAUACAACGGGGAAAUAGCAGCCUCUUCAACAGCUGAUGUUGGCAAAACUGGACAGCUACAUGCAAGAGAAUGAAACUGGAUUAUUGUCUAUCCCCAUACACAAAAGUAAACUCAAAAUGGAUCAAAGACCUGAAUGUAAGUCAUGAAACCAUAAAACUCUUAGAAGAUAACAUAGGCAAAAAUCUCCUGAAUAUAAACACGAGCAACUUUUUUCUCAAUGCAUCUCGUUGAGCAAGGGAAACAAAAGCAAAAAUGAACACAUAGAACUACAUCAAACUUAAAAGAUUCUGUACAGCAAAGGACACCAUCAACAGAACAAAAAUGCAUCCUACAGUAUGUGAGAAUAUAUUUGUAAAUGACCUAUCUGACAAGGGGUUAACAUCCAAAAUAUAUAAAGAACUCACACCUCACCACCCAAAAAGCAAAUAACCCAAUUAAAAAAUGGGCAGAGGAUAUGAAGAGACGGUUCUCCAAAGAAGAAAUUCAGAUGGCCAACAGGCACAUGAAAAGAUGCUCCACAUCACUAAUCAUCAGGGAAAUGCAAAUUAAAACCACAAUGAGAUAUGACCUCAUACUAGUAAGGAUGGCCAGCAUUGAAAAGACUAAGAACAACAAAUGCUGGCGAGGAUGUGGAGAAAGGGGAACCCUCCUACACUGCUGGGGGGAAUGUAAGCUAGUUCAACCAUUGUGGAAAGCAUAUGGAAGAUCCUCAAAAAAACUAAAAACAGAAAUACCAUUUUGACCCAGGAAUUCCACUCCUAGGAAUUUACCCAAAGAAUACAACUUCUCAUAUUCAAAAUGACAUAUGCACCCCUGUGUUUAUUGCAGCACUUUUUACAAUAGCCACAAUAUGGGAGCAACCUAAGUGUCCAUGAGCAGAUGAAUGGAUAAAGAAGAGGUGGUACCUGUACACAAUGGAAUACUAUUCAGCCAUAAGACAGAAACAAAUCCUACCAUUUGCAACAACAUGGGUGGAGCUGGAGGAUAUUAUGCUCAGUGAAAUAAGCCAGGCAGAGAAAGACAAGUGCCAAAUGAUUUCCCUCGUGUGGAGCAUAACAACGAAGCAAAACCGAAGGAACAAAGUAGCAGCAGAAUCGGAGACUCCAAGAAGGGACCAGCGGUUACCAAAGGGGAGGGUGGGGGAGGGCGGGGAGGGGGGGAGGGAGAAGGGGACUGAGGGGUAUUAUGAUCGUCAUACAUGGUGUUGGGGGGAUAAGGCAAAUAGUGACUCUGUGGCAUCUUACUACACUGAUGGACAGUGACUGCAAUGGGGUGGGGGGGGGACACGAUAAUAUGGGUGAAUGUAGUAACCACAUUAUUUUUCAUGUGAAACCUUCAUAAGAGUGUAUAUCAAUAAUACCUUAAUUUAAAAAAUUCACUUGGAGAGGACAUUGCAAUGCAGUAUUAUUUCUUUGUUUUGUUCUAGAAUCAAGGACCCAAGUGAUGAUUUGUUUGAAAAGUCAAACUUCAAGUUUUGCUAGAGGUCAACUCAUAACCUUUUUCCCCCCUCUUGUUUGAUUGCAUAUUUGUACAAAACAUAUGGUGAAAGAAGGGACAUGGCUUUCACAACAUGUUGAUGGAGAUAACACCAAAGAAUAUGGUGCCAUUGAUAUCUCCAGAGCAAAGUUGUUUUGGCCAUUUACCGAGCACUUAUUAAGAGCCAGGCACCGUGCAAAUGUUUUAGGUGUGUCUUCUUCUUGGGGUGUCUAGUUCAGGAUCACACAACUACUCGGGGGCACCGUUGGAGCCUGAAGCCCCGCUCCUCGCCUGCUCCCUUAGCCACCGUCGGCCCCGCCUCUUCUCCGUGAAUGAGCCCCACUGGGGGGGCUUCACCGCAACGUGCAUCGUUCAGGCUCCACCACGCUGGGUUCACAACCAGGAAUCAAGAUGAUCAAAGGAAAGACUCCUGUAGGAAGGACCAAGCAUCGACCAACACCUAUGCAGGUGACCUCCGAGAAGACACCAAACCUCGACCAAAGCUACGAGAAAACCUCUGGAAAAGGCUCCUGGAGCCUCCGACCGCCUGCGCCGCGUUGUGAGCCGUGAAAGCUGCGCCCCUCGCAUCCGACCCUGAAGCCGGGUGCAAUCCGCUUGGUUGCAGCCCUGUGUUAGUCAUCUACUGCCGCCUAACGAAUUACCUCAAGUCAGCCACUUAAAACAAACAUUUUUCAUCUCUGUUUCUGAGUCAGAAAUUCGGGAGUGGUUUGGCUGCGUGGUUUUUGGUCAGUCUCCCUCUUACACAGAGGUUUUAGUACCGUUAUUUAGGUGUGGCAAGGCCAGCAGAUUAGGAGGCAGUGCCAUUGAGAGGAUACUUCGUUCCAGAUCCCAAAGGGGGGGAGCAAGCCACACCACAGGGGCCACGCGAGGAAGGGCCCCCCACCAGGGUCGGUCAGGAGGCACAGGGAGGUGGGGGCUGUGGCGGGAGCCCUCCUGGGGUCUUCAUGGGAAGGACAGGUGAGGCAGGGUAAGCAGCCUGAGAACUGGCUGGUCUGGGUAAUUCCAGCGGGCUCUCAGGGGCAGGGGCUGUCCUUGGUGGUGUGGUGCCUGCCCUGGGGUGAUGAGGGCAGGUGGACCCAGGAAGGGAGGCAGUGGAGGUGUGGGCUCUGAAUCGCUUGGUUUGCAUCUGAAAGGCGUGGUUCUCAGGCAAGUUGUUCAGCAGCUCUGGGAACAGGCUCACCCUGGGAGCUCUCCAAGCAUCAGAAUACAGGAAGUAAGAGGCGUGGUUAGCACAGCUGUCAUGAGGUUGCAAUCAGGAUGGUGGCGUGGCUGCAGCCAUCUGAAAGCUUGACCGGCUGGGGGAUCCCCUCCUGAGAUGGCUUGUCACACGGUCGCUGUGUCACGUGACACGCCAGCAGCUUUAGUGCUGGCUUGGCCGGAAGCCUCGGUUCCUCAUCCCCCAAAGCUCUCCACAGGGGCUGCUUGGCUGUCCUCCUCACAUGGUGGCUGGCUCCCCCCAGAGCAGGAUCUAAGGGGGAGUGAGGAACAAGCCACUGGGCCUCUGGUGACCUGGUCGUGGACAGAAUGUGCCAUCACGUCCGCCAUACAGAGGAUUGGAAGGCAGUCACUAAGCCCGGCCCACCUUCAAGGGGUAGAGGAUUUGGUCCAAACUUUGAGGGGAAAUGGUCAAAGAAUUUCUGGACAUAUUUUAACACUACAUCAGUUUCAGCUGGUCACAGAAACUCAACCCCAAAAAGGAGGCAUUUAUGACAAAAGCGGGGAAGGAUGGAGUAGUGCUGGCCUCUCAGUACGGGAAUCAUGUCCACCCUCUCUGUCUCUGUCUCUGUCUCUCUGUCUCUCUGUCUCUCUCUCUCUCUCACACACACACACACACACACACACACACACACACUUCUCUGUGUAGACGCUGCACUCUCUCAGCUAUGAACAACCCACAGUCUGCUCCAAAUUUGCGUCCGUGCAGGCUCUUGAACAGCAAAGCCAGCUUGUGGCCCCUGGCCAGCGGCCACCUGGGAUGGGUCGGGGCAGGACCCUGAAGGGGCGCAGCUCUGCCUGGGGGCUCAUGCCUUGGACCCAGCACUGCCUGGGACUGGGGCUCAGCACGUGCAUGGGCUUGGGUCGCAUGC
Manis pentadactyla (Chinese pangolin) is the source of this 6283-nucleotide RNA transcript. It is a transcript of the gene named calcium binding protein 2, with no coding region annotated. The record is from RefSeq and is a predicted model, not a curated record. NCBI's taxonomy places the organism in Eukaryota, Metazoa, Chordata, Mammalia, Pholidota, Manidae. The transcript has 3 exons.